Molecule: long non-coding RNA, 1269 nt
Filed under: Sparus aurata (gilthead seabream)
Lineage: Eukaryota; Metazoa; Chordata; Actinopteri; Spariformes; Sparidae
Description: lncRNA (ENSSAUG00010022780.1)
Source: RNAcentral
AUGUUCGAUUGUACUGAAAAUAUGAUCAGAGUUCGAAAAAUGAUUUCAACUCUCUCCUCUGCAGUGCUUUUGUCUUUGCUCCUGUUGGUCACGUGCUUCCUGGCGUUGCUGCAUGGGAGGAAGCGCCACAACAAAGCUGUGACGCCUGGAUGUCCAAAAGAAAACACAAACGAGUCCGAAGAAGAAGAAGAUGACGUCAGCGACAGAUCGAGUGCUGAUCGGCCUCCUGGAGACUCUGGGGAAAGGGGGAAUAGUCAGUGGGACUCAGAGAUGGGAUGGAGAAGAUCCUGUGCUGAGGUCAGAGCGAAGUCAGCUAACGCUAUUCUCUUUACAUCUCCUUUUUGUGCACCUGUAAAAGAUCAAUUUAGUUCACAACCUGAGGCAGAGGCUCGAUUGAAAGAUUCAGAAAAUGAAGCUGAAGGAAAGCAGAAACUAGGGAGGGAAACUGACAUAGACGGAGGAUUUGAGACUGGAACAGCGACAAAAAAUCUAGGUAAAGACCUCCACUGUGUUUCUGUCAACACUGACACGGACAACGUGCCUUAUCUGAGCAUCGGCACAAACCAGAAUUGCCCUGGUGAUUUGAACAGACAGUCCACUGAUGAUCCGGGUCAAAGGUUACAGACGAGCAAGGCUUUGGGAAGGAUCUCCACCUGGCCUCCGACUGCAGUUCAGUGGCAGGCCAGAUGUCAAAUCAAGGAGAACGAGGAGACGGAGGCGUCUCAUGUCCACACCGUCUGGACACCAAAGUUUCAAGCAGGUGAGGUGAACAAAGAGUUUAACAAAGUGGAGAUUCCCUUUGGUGAGGAUGAAAUUGAGAAGAAUCAAAUCGAUGAUUCCCUAAAGAUAGAUCAGAUGAAAGUGGGACUCUCUCGUUCGCCAGAAACAAAUGACAAGACCACUUCUGUCAGCGGGGCUCAUUCCCAGACUGACAUGGAGCAAAGGGAGCAGCUGAAGGAGGAAGAGAUGGUCCAGGACGCUGCAACUGUGACACACACAAUCAGUGAAACCCCAAAUCAAAUCCUGACACCUGCAGAGACGAGCGGCAACAAGCUCGACCCAAAGCGAGCUGUGACGAGCAGACAGAAGGCAGAAGGCAGAGGCACCGGCUCGAAGGCUCCCUCUGGUGGAGCCUCUCCUGAUGAUGAAACGCUGCUGUCCGGCAACGAGUACGCCUUCAUGGACCUGCUGCACGAGGUGGCGCAGAACAACGGCCGCUGGACCAGAGAGAGGUGGAGGCAGACGCAUGCCAACAAGCAGCGGCAUUAG